UACGUAGGGUGCAAGCGUUGUCCGGAAUUAUUGGGCGUAAAGAGCUCGUAGGCGGUUUGUCGCGUCGAAUGUGAAAACCCGGGGCUCAACCCCGGGCCUGCAUUCGAUACGGGCAGACUAGAGUUCGGUAGGGGAGUCUGGAAUUCCUGGUGUAGCGGUGAAAUGCGUAGAUAUCAAGAGGAACACCUGAGGUGAAGACGGGUUGCUGGGCUGACACUGACGCUGAGGCGCGAAAGCCAGGGGAGCAAACGGG
This 253-nucleotide ribosomal RNA is filed under the name uncultured bacterium. RNAcentral's name for it is "partial 16S ribosomal RNA". It matches the Rfam family "Bacterial small subunit ribosomal RNA", at positions 524 to 776 of the family's 1533-position model. The record is from RNAcentral.